CCUACGGGAGGCAGCAGUGAGGAAUAUUGGUCAAUGGACGCAAGUCUGAACCAGCCAUGCCGCGUGCAGGAUGACGGCUCUAUGAGUUGUAAACUGCUUUUGUACGAGGGUAAACCCCGAUACGUGUAUCGGGUUGAAAGUAUCGUACGAAUAAGGAUCGGCUAACUCCGUGCCAGCAGCCGCGGUAAUACGGAGGAUCCGAGCGUUAUCCGGAUUUAGUGGGUUUAAAGGGUGCGUAGGCGGUUUGAUAAGUUAGAGGUGAAAUGGCGGGGCUCAACCCCGAAACUGCCUCUAAAACUGUUUGACUUGAGAAUAGUUGCGGUAGGCGGAAUGUAUGGUGUAGCGGUGAAAUGCUUAGAGAUCAUACAGAACACCGAUUGCGAAGGCAGCUUACCAAACUAUAUCUGACGUUGAGGCACGAAAGCGUGGGUAGCAAACAGGAUUAGAUACCCUUGUAGUC
This 460-nucleotide ribosomal RNA is filed under the name uncultured bacterium. RNAcentral describes it as "partial 16S ribosomal RNA". It matches the Rfam family "Bacterial small subunit ribosomal RNA", at positions 338 to 795 of the family's 1533-position model. The record is from RNAcentral.